AUAGAUUGUCGAAGUAGAGAGAAAAGAUCAGCACGGUAGCGGCUUUUCACCCACGAAGGAACCAUUACACAAACGAAGUCGUCUUGAAUGUCAAACGUGUGGAAAAUCGUUCUCAAGAAAAGAUGCCUUGAAACGGCACGAGAAGGUUCAUCAAAAAGAGAAAAAUCAUCAAUGCGGACAAUGUGGGAAGAACUUCAGCCGUCGGGACUACUUAAAAAAGCAUCAGAAAGUUCACGAGAAACAUAAAUUGCAUAAACAUAGUGUUGAGCGUGAGUAUAAAUGUUUAACCUGCGGACAAACGUUUAGUUCAGUUGGACAAUUCAAAUCCCACCAGAAGUCAGUCCACUCUUUGGCUAAACAAACACCCCAAGUUGAGAAACGAAAGCGAAGCCAAGUAGAUGAUCAGUCAA
Molecule: long non-coding RNA, 410 nt
Organism: Exaiptasia diaphana
Lineage: Eukaryota; Metazoa; Cnidaria; Anthozoa; Actiniaria; Aiptasiidae
Exons: 2
Source: RefSeq, a predicted model, not a curated record